RNAcentral lists this long non-coding RNA (373 nucleotides) under Androctonus crassicauda. The record is from RNAcentral. Lineage: Eukaryota; Metazoa; Arthropoda; Arachnida; Scorpiones; Buthidae.
GCACCAGGGGUCACUACGUCAAUGCUGAUCGCUUUAAAUAUAAAAUUUUGAGUUAAAAAGUUUUGGAUGUUAUAAGUCGGUACGAUUAGAAAAAGUUUUCUCUGAAAAUUUUGUGGUCAUGGCAGCUGGCGAAAGUACUUAUAUAUUGGAGAAAAAAGUUGUGAUUUCGCCCACUUCGCCGUCUCAGGAAAGGGACAAUGAAAGCUUUGGUUCUACUCAUGAUGUCAAACAAUUAAUUCUUGAUGAACCAGUUGGUAAAAGUACUGAAACAAGUAAUCUUCAUCAAACUGGAUUUAAUUAUAUCAACAGUAUCAUUGGGUCUGGUAUUGUUGGUAAGAUAUCUUUUUAAUUUCUAUUCAUUUGUUGACUUGAA